GAUGAACGCUGGCGGCGUGCCUAAUACAUGCAAGUCGAGCGAACAGACGAGGAGCUUGCUCCUCUGACGUUAGCGGCGGACGGGUGAGUAACACGUGGAUAACCUACCUAUAAGACUGGGAUAACUUCGGGAAACCGGAGCUAAUACCGGAUAAUAUAUUGAACCGCAUGGUUCAAUAGUGAAAGACGGUUUUGCUGUCACUUAUAGAUGGAUCCGCGCCGCAUUAGCUAGUUGGUAAGGUAACGGCUUACCAAGGCGACGAUGCGUAGCCGAACUGAGAGGGUGAUCGGCCACACUGGAACUGAGACACGGUCCAGACUCCUACGGGAGGCAGCAGUAGGGAAUCGUCCGCAAUGGGCGAAAGCCUGACGGAGCACAGCCGCGUGAGUGAUGAAGGUCUUCGGAUCGUAAAACUCUGUUAUUAGGGAAGAACAAAUGUGUAAGUAACUAUGCACGUCUUGACGGUACCUAAUCAGAAAGCCACGGCUAACUACGUG
This 497-nucleotide ribosomal RNA is filed under the name uncultured bacterium. Its description in RNAcentral is "partial 16S ribosomal RNA". It matches the Rfam family "Bacterial small subunit ribosomal RNA", at positions 28 to 507 of the family's 1533-position model. The record is from RNAcentral.